UAAUGUAUCGGGUUAUGAUUUACCGUUAUUAUACCGGAAUUUGAUUUACCGUUAUAGGGUCGGUUAUUGAUUUACCGUUUUUGUUCCAGGGAUGACAGAGUCCUUUUUCUUUGGUGAAUCACAAUUGAUACAUGCUGCUGGAUUGGAAAAUGAUAAUCCAGAGGAGCAACCAUCACUAGCUGAACCUCCGAUUAUAUCUAUAGAUGUCUCUCAUUUGUAUCAUACUGAUCAGCGUUUCCCUUUGAAAGAUGAUCUUAUGAAAUGGGUUCGCGACAUUUCUAUGGCAAAUAAUUUUGUUUUGGUGACAACAAAGUCUGAUAGUGGUGCGAAGGGAAGAAAAGAAUAUGUCAUUUUGGGGUGUGAGAAGCAUGGUGCGUAUAUUCCCUACAGAGAACCGGAUCUUGUUGAAGGAACGUCAACACAAAAGACAGGUUGUCCUUUUAGGCUAGGAAAUCGUGAGACGUGUGCUAGAUCAUGGAUCAACCGAAACCGAUCCUGAUUUCAACUCACAUGCUUGGCUAUCAGCCCUGCAAGAGUGGGGAAUAGCCACUCCGCUGGGCUCUCUGACAGCGAACGUUGAGAGGGUGGAGAAUGUUGUUGCUGUUAUCAAAUCUUGCACUCCCAAUGGGUUUGGAGAUGCGAAAGUUACCCUCAAGGACCCCACGGGUGCUGUUGAUGCUAGCAUCCACCGCAAGGCAUUUACUCACAGUGAAUUUGCGAAUGACAUAACUGUUGGAUCUGUUCUCGUUCUCCAAAAGGUUGCUGUGUUUGCACCUAGAGGAACUGUUUGUUAUCUUAAUAUAACAUUGCCCAACCUAGUGAAGGUAUUCCCAAAAGAUUGCGGACCCCAUGACUUCAUCGAUAUCACAGAGGAAUAAUUUUGUUUUCGGUGUUGCUUAUGUUUAAUUUGGUUGUGUAACCGUUUAACUUAUUGUCAUGGAUUACUACAUGCUUUGAAUUAUUUAUAUGUUGUCGUUGUUUCUGUUUUUUUCAUUAUAAGAGUCAUAAUAUUAAG
This is an RNA transcript of Lotus japonicus, 1015 nucleotides long. RefSeq lists it as uncharacterized. NCBI's taxonomy places the organism in Eukaryota, Viridiplantae, Streptophyta, Magnoliopsida, Fabales, Fabaceae. The transcript has 4 exons. The record is from RefSeq and is a predicted model, not a curated record.